UAAAAUAAAAUAAAAAACCCACUCAAGAACGUCCAUAUAUAUGGAUUUGAAAGUUGGAACUGGUCAUACAAUAUUAUCAUUGUGACGUUUAUGAAUUUUAUAAUUUAUAGUAUAUAUUAUGAAAAAAAAAAAAAAAAAACUCAAUGUCAGUCAGUUUCGAAUUUGGGAUAAGCAUUUAUUUUCUUAGCUUUUUUUCAUGUGGUUUUAAUUGUCUCACGUAUACAUAUUGACCACUGAAUAUCAAAAUCAGUUACAUUACUAUUUGGAGCGACGUUAAAUAUUAGUCAUCGAAAUCAAUCUAGAAGACAAA
Molecule: long non-coding RNA, 310 nt
Filed under: Capsella rubella
Lineage: Eukaryota; Viridiplantae; Streptophyta; Magnoliopsida; Brassicales; Brassicaceae
Description: long non-coding RNA (CRUB_LNC002760)
Source: RNAcentral